RNAcentral lists this unclassified non-coding RNA (571 nucleotides) under Melitaea cinxia (Glanville fritillary). RNAcentral's name for it is "misc RNA ENSMCXG00005005435.1". The record is from RNAcentral. Lineage: Eukaryota; Metazoa; Arthropoda; Insecta; Lepidoptera; Nymphalidae.
UAAGUUCAAACAGCAGGUAAUUGCUAUAAGUCGUUGAAGAGUUCCCUCGACUAUCUUUCGUCUCCAUCAUCAGACUGAAAUGGCACUUAUAACUCACACAUAUGCAAAGUUCUCAUCAAUAGAAACGAAUUAAGUUCACACAGCAGGUAAUUGCUAUAAAUCGUUAAAGAGUUCUCUCGACUAACUUUUGUCUCCAUCAUCAGACUGUAAUGGCACUUAUAACUCAUACAGGUGCAAUGUUCUCAUCAAUAGAAACGAAUUAAGAUCAAAAAGCAGGUAAUCGCUAUAAAUUGUUGAAGAGUUCCCUCGACUAUCUUUUUUCUCCAUCAUCAGAUCGACAUCAGACCUUUAUUAAAUAGUAGUGCUUUAUAGUACUUAAUGAAAACAUGAUCAAAUUUACUAGUCACCCUUACGAUUUUUGAAAGUUUCCCUCGAUUUCUCUGGGAUCCCAUCAUCAGAUCCUGGUUUCCUUAUCAUGGUACCAAGCUAUGGGUAUCUCCAUUCCAACAAAAAAAGAAUUAUCAAAAUCGGUUCAUAAACGAAGAAGUUAUCUCCGAACAUACAGAAAAAA